CUCCAUCACCUUAAGUUCACUCACCCUCACUGCAUGACGCAUUUGGUUGCUCCACUGUGACAUAAGAGCUUCAAGCAUUCCUCAGUCUAAUGAGAUUGUAGCUAUGUGUCCUUGUUUUCUCUGGGAGAUACUUGUGGCACAGUCUGUGGGACCAGCAGCCCUCUGAAGAUCUGGAUCUUCCUGGAUCCUAUCUCUGAGUGCAUACCAGGCCAGUGAGAGCUCUCUUCACUUCUCACCAUAGCAGCUUCAAUAUGUAUUUUCCCCAGCUCAUCUUUCCAAGAACACAUGGUGUAUGAGUUUUGUAUCAUUUCCAGUACAGAAUAACUUUGCCAUACAUAGGAAGAUACGUUAGCAGAUCUAGGAAAAAAAGAUAAACAAUCAUAUGUAGUCUGCUUCAGUUUUUUCAUGUGGUAAACGUAGGAAGAUUCCUUUAAGUAAUUAAUCCAAUAACUAAAAACUUUUCCCUUUUUGUCCCCUAUGGCUGCCUUCCCCAUAUUCUUACAUGGUUGGGUGGGAGGCACUCUCAAUCCUCUAUGUCACAGUAGGUGUCUAUUACUGAGUUAUGGUUAGAGUUUGGGUGUGAUGGAUGGGCUUGCAAGGGAAGGAGCCUGCUGGUGGCAUUCACCACUGUGAAGACUGGUCAUUAUCAAAGUGAACAAUAUCAAUUCAGUUAAACCAGUCACAAAUGUUUCAUCUGAACUGCAGUUCAUGUUACUUAAAUGCUAACAGUGCAUUUAAUCUCACUAUGAAUAGAGAAACAGCAGAGGAGACAACAACAUGAAGUUUGCAGUUUGUCCCAGGAUGCAUGGAGAGACCAAUCAGGAUCAAGCAGAAUUCAAGAAAUAGAGACUGAUUGACACUUUUUGCCAAAUCACUGCAAGAGUAAAAUAAAGAGAAGAUGUGAGUGAACAGUGUCAACGAGAAUACAUGAAGCAGAAAAACUCAUGGAGGAACAGGAUGACUCAUGGACAGCAUAGCUGGAAGCAAAAAGCUUGUAAGACACAUGAAAAAAAUGUCAAUUGUGAAGAAUGUCAACAAAUUGCAUCAUACAGCAUUUUGUGAACCAACACUUCACACGCAUAAACGAUCUCCACUGAAUUCUACUCUGAUGAAGUUUUUGGUCUGGUCUCCCUUCUUGCAAAAGGACCAGUUCUCUUCUGUACAGACACUUUGCAAAUACAACUCUUUAGCUGUUUCUAGGAGAUACUGCAGUAUCUCUUAAAAACUGUUUUGUUUUAUUAAGAACUCAAAGUGUCACAUUUCCAUACCACUGCAAUUACCAGGUAACAGUGUUUUUACUUCCAAAAUGCCAUUUCCAAGUUUAUCAUCUCUCCGUGACUUGUAAUUCUUCUGGAUAAACAUGUUUGAGAUCUGUGAUGGUCUCCCUGGUGAUGGUUACCAUAGUGCUUCACAGGAUUUUAUUUCUGCUCAUUCCUCAAAAGCAGGACUGUGGUUCUCUGUGGGAGGCCCAGAGUUGCACCAGUCUCAGAUUUUAUUGCCUUUGCCAUUCUGCCCCCACUAAGGAGUAAACCACCCAGACAUGCCACUGUCAUCUUUACUGUAUUCCAUCAACUCUGCUUAAAAUAAAUGUUACAAAUCAAUCUCCUCCUUUUCUCA
This is a long non-coding RNA of Manacus vitellinus (golden-collared manakin), 1617 nucleotides long. NCBI's taxonomy places the organism in Eukaryota, Metazoa, Chordata, Aves, Passeriformes, Pipridae. The record is from Ensembl.